CAUCUUCGAGCGAGGGUUGCGACCGUCGAUCUUCCGGUUUGUGCAAUCCUCUAACCUCCAAACCUACCGGGAGGUGGUGGAUCUCGCGCUCAUCGUGGAGAGCGGCGCGGCAGAUGUCCAGGAGCGGCGAGAGGCUAUGAACAAGGGUAAGGCCAAGAGGCCUGCGGCUGAGGGUGCGAGCCAGACGCACUCUAGGAGGCCGCCGAAGCAUCCUAGGAGCUAGCAGCAUGGGCGUGGCUCAGCGACUCACCGUGGAGGAUCUGACCGACGCCGACCUCCCCAGUGCGUGAUCUGUGGUGGUCCCCACAUUCCAC
RNAcentral lists this long non-coding RNA (314 nucleotides) under Ananas comosus (pineapple). Its description in RNAcentral is "long non-coding RNA (ACOM_LNC003545)". The record is from RNAcentral. Lineage: Eukaryota; Viridiplantae; Streptophyta; Magnoliopsida; Poales; Bromeliaceae.